AGUAGAACGCUGAAGGAGGAGCUUGCUUCUCUGGAUGAGUUGCGAACGGGUGAGUAACGCGUAGGUAACCUGCCUGGUAGCGGGGGAUAACUAUUGGAAACGAUAGCUAAUACCGCAUAAUAGUAGAUGUUGCAUGACAUUUGCUUAAAAGGUGCAAUUGCAUCACUACCAGAUGGACCUGCGUUGUAUUAGCUAGUUGGUGGGGUAACGGCUCACCAAGGCGACGAUACAUAGCCGACCUGAGAGGGUGAUCGGCCACACUGGGACUGAGACACGGCCCAGACUCCGACGGGAGGCAGCAGUAGGGAAUCUUCGGCAAUGGACGGAAGUCUGACCGAGCAACGCCGCGUGAGUGAAGAAGGUUUUCGGAUCGUAAAGCUCUGUUGUAAGAGAAGAACGAGUGUGAGAGUGGAAAGUUCACACUGUGACGGUAUCUUACCAGAAAGGGACGGCUAACUACGUGCCAGCAGCCGCGGUAAUACGUAGGUCCCGAGCGUUGUCCGGAUUUAUUGGGCGUAAAGCGAGCGCAGGCGGUUAGAUAAGUCUGAAGUUAAAGGCUGUGGCUUAACCAUAGUACGCUUUGGAAACUGUUUAACUUGAGUGCAAGAGGGGAGAGUGGAAUUCCAUGUGUAGCGGUGAAAUGCGUAGAUAUAUGGAGGAACACCGGUGGCGAAAGCGGCUCUCUGGCUUGUAACUGACGCUGAGGCUCGAAAGCGUGGGGAGCAAACAGGAUUAGAUACCCUGGUAGUCCACGCCGUAAACGAUGAGUGCUAGGUGUUAGACCCUUUCCGGGGUUUAGUGCCGCAGCUAACGCAUUAAGCACUCCGCCUGGGGAGUACGACCGCAAGGUUGAAACUCAAAGGAAUUGACGGGGGCCCGCACA
Molecule: ribosomal RNA, 883 nt
Filed under: uncultured bacterium
Lineage: Bacteria
Description: bacterial SSU rRNA
Rfam family: Bacterial small subunit ribosomal RNA
Source: RNAcentral